Molecule: non-coding RNA, 118 nt
Organism: Kalmusia sp. IMI 367209
Lineage: Eukaryota; Fungi; Ascomycota; Dothideomycetes; Pleosporales; Didymosphaeriaceae
Source: the annotation of a GenBank genome assembly
GUCGCUUUAGCUCAUUUGGGAGAGCGCCAGACUGAAGCAAUCCGCCUUCGGGCGGCAAACUUUGGUUCGCAUCGAACGAGACAUCUGGAGGUAGUGUGUUCGAUCCACACAAGCGACA